CCUACGUGAGGCAGCAGUGGGGAAUAUUGCGCAAUGGGCGAAAGCCUGACGCAGCGACGCCGCGUGAGGGAUGAAGGUCUUCGGAUCGUAAACCUCUGUCAGCAGGGAAGAACGGUCACUGUGCUAAUCAGCAGUGAAUUGACGGUACCUGCAAAGGAAGCACCGGCUAACUCCGUGCCAGCUGCCGCGGUAAUACGGAGGGUGCGGGAGUUAAUCGGAAGUACUGGGCGUAAAGCGCCCUUAGGCGGUAUGUCAAGUCAAGGGUGAAAUCCCCGCGCUCAACGUGGGAACUGCCUUUGAAACUGGAAAACUGGAGUGUGUGAGAGGAUAGUGGAAUUCCAGGUGUAGGAGUGAAAUCCGUAGAUAUCUGGAGGAACAUCAGUGGCGAAGGCGACUAUCUGGCACAUAACUGACGCUGAGGAGCGAAAGCGUGGGUAGCAAACAGGAUUAGAUACCCUGGUAGUC
This 465-nucleotide ribosomal RNA is filed under the name uncultured bacterium. RNAcentral describes it as "partial 16S ribosomal RNA". It matches the Rfam family "Bacterial small subunit ribosomal RNA", at positions 338 to 795 of the family's 1533-position model. The record is from RNAcentral.